GGAACCAGUUUUGUUUGUUUUACUGUCCUCUGAGAUGCGAGAGGCCACGAUGAUGGGCGACCAGCACCUUUCUGCAGCUGUGGGAACACAUGAGGAGACCACUGCUUUCAAUACAUGAGAGCCAUACAAGGGAAGGGCGUGUGUUCCUGAGGGUGCUGGUGGACUGUCCAGCAGUGUAAUAAGAAGCAUCACACCUGGAAUUCUGCAGCAGGGGAUGCUUUACAAGACAGUUGGCAUCCUUGUCCAUGA
Molecule: long non-coding RNA, 249 nt
Filed under: Meriones unguiculatus (Mongolian gerbil)
Lineage: Eukaryota; Metazoa; Chordata; Mammalia; Rodentia; Muridae
Description: lncRNA (ENSMUGG00000017519.1)
Source: RNAcentral